RNAcentral lists this ribosomal RNA (482 nucleotides) under uncultured bacterium. RNAcentral describes it as "partial 16S ribosomal RNA". It matches the Rfam family "Bacterial small subunit ribosomal RNA", at positions 30 to 507 of the family's 1533-position model. The record is from RNAcentral.
AUUGAACGCUGGCGGCAUGCCUUACACAUGCAAGUCGAACGGUAACGGGCCUUCGGGUGCCGACGAGUGGCGAACGGGUGCGUAAUACAUCGGAACGUGCCCGAUCGUGGGGGGUAACGAGGCGAAAGCUUUGCUAAUACCGCAUACGAUCUACGGAUGAAAGCAGGGGACCGCAAGGCCUUGCGCGGACGGAGCGGCCGAUGGCAGAUUAGCUAGUUGGUGGGUUAAAAGCUUACCAAGCCGACGAUCUGUAGCUGGUCUGAGAGGAUGAUCAGCCACACUGGGACUGAGACACGGCCCAGACUCCUACGGGAGGCAGCAGUGGGGAAUUUUGCACAAUGGGCGCAAGCCUGAUCCAGCCAUGCCGCGUGCAGGAUGAAGGCCUUCGGGUUGUAAACUGCUUUUGUACGGAACGAAAAGCCUUCUUUUAAUACAGGAGGGUCAUGACGGUACCGUAAGAAUAAGCACCGGCUAACUACGUG